GCUGGCAAUGAACAAAUUGGUCCUGAGGCUGUCAGAGCCUCCCUGCGAGUACGUGGACUACGUGUACAGCGAAGGAGGGUUCGAGCAAGCAUGUUACGGAUGAAUCCUGGAGCAGCUGCCCUUAGAGCAGUUUUGCGGAGACCAGAACGAAGAACAUAUCAAGUUGCAGGUCCAAACUCAUUGUGGCACAUUGAUGGAAAUCACAAGCUGAUACGGUGGAGGAUAGUCAUUCAUGGGGCUAUUGAUGGAUACAGUCGUCUUGUGGUCUUCCUUCAUGCCUCAAACAACAACCGUAGCAGUACCGUUUUA
This is a long non-coding RNA of Oreochromis niloticus (Nile tilapia), 309 nucleotides long. RefSeq lists it as uncharacterized. The transcript is spliced from 2 exons. NCBI's taxonomy places the organism in Eukaryota, Metazoa, Chordata, Actinopteri, Cichliformes, Cichlidae. The record is from RefSeq and is a predicted model, not a curated record.